This 472-nucleotide ribosomal RNA is filed under the name uncultured bacterium. RNAcentral describes it as "partial 16S ribosomal RNA". It matches the Rfam family "Bacterial small subunit ribosomal RNA", at positions 28 to 507 of the family's 1533-position model. The record is from RNAcentral.
GACGAACGCUGGCGGCGUGCUUAACACAUGCAAGUCGAACGCUGAAGCUUGGUGCUUGCACUGGGUGGAUGAGUGGCGAACGGGUGAGUAAUACGUGAGUAACCUGCCCUUGACUCUGGGAUAAGCCUGGGAAACUGGGUCUAAUACUGGAUACGACAUGUCACCGCAUGGUGGUGUGUGGAAAGGGUUUUACUGGUUUUGGAUGGGCUCACGGCCUAUCAGCUUGUUGGUGGGGUAAUGGCUCACCAAGGCGACGACGGGUAGCCGGCCUGAGGGGGUGACCGGCCACACUGGGACUGAGACACGGCCCAGACUCCUACGGGAGGCAGCAGUGGGGAAUAUUGCACAAUGGGCGGAAGCCUGAUGCAGCGACGCCGCGUGAGGGAUGACGGCCUUCGGGUUGUAAACCUCUUUCAGCACGGAAGAAGCGAAAGUGACGGUACGUGCAGAAGAAGCGCCGGCUAACUACGUG